This 396-nucleotide ribosomal RNA is filed under the name uncultured bacterium. RNAcentral describes it as "bacterial SSU rRNA". It matches the Rfam family "Bacterial small subunit ribosomal RNA", at positions 29 to 426 of the family's 1533-position model. The record is from RNAcentral.
AUUAAACGCUGGCGGCAUGCCUUACACAUGCAAGUCGAACGGCAGCACGGGGGCAACCCUGGUGGCGAGUGGCGGACGGGUGAGUAAAGCAUCGGAACGUAUCCUGGAGUGGGGGAUAACGUAGCGAAAGUUACGCUAAUACCGCAUAUUCUGUGAGCAGGAAAGCAGGGGAUCGCAAGACCUUGCGCUCUGGGAGCGGCCGAUGUCGGAUUAGCUAGUUGGUGGGGUAAAGGCCUACCAAGGCGACGAUCCGUAGCGGGUCUGAGAGGAUGAUCCGCCACACUGGGACUGAGACACGGCCCAGACUCCUACGGGAGGCAGCAGUGGGGAAUUUUGGACAAUGGGCGCAAGCCUGAUCCAGCCAUGCCGCGUGAGUGAAGAAGGCCUUCGGGUUGU